CAGUGCUAUAAAAGAGUACAUGGAAUGAUGGAAUAGGACUUUGGUUCCAUUUUCCGUUGGUUUCUGGAACCGAAGUAAUGAUUAAUAGGGUUGGGGGCAUUCGUAUUUCGUUGUCAGAGGUGAAAUUUUGAAUUUAUUGAAAGACGAACUAAUGCGAAAGCAUUUGCCAAGAAUGUUUCAUUAAUCAAGAACGAAAGUUAGAGGAUCGAAGACGAUCAGAUACCGUCCUAGUUCUAACCAUAAACGAUGCCGACUAGGGAUCAGCGAGUGUUAUUU
This is a long non-coding RNA of Xenia sp. Carnegie-2017, 276 nucleotides long. RefSeq lists it as uncharacterized. The record is from RefSeq and is a predicted model, not a curated record. NCBI's taxonomy places the organism in Eukaryota, Metazoa, Cnidaria, Anthozoa, Malacalcyonacea, Xeniidae. The transcript has 3 exons.